Long non-coding RNA from Homarus americanus (American lobster), 1704 nucleotides. RefSeq lists it as uncharacterized. The record is from RefSeq and is a predicted model, not a curated record. The transcript has 2 exons. NCBI's taxonomy places the organism in Eukaryota, Metazoa, Arthropoda, Malacostraca, Decapoda, Nephropidae.
CGCCUCGUAGUAGGUGACCUUGACCAAGCAUCCAUUACCCAGCUCAUAGCAGGUCUACUAGCAACACAAUAAAUGCGGAAAAGAGAGGCCUGGGGUGAAAUUGCUGCCUCAUUCAACGCCAGCAACUCUGACCAACUCCCUCGCACAGCCAAGCAGCUCAAGAGGAGCUACGGACACUUAAAAAGGAAGUAGAGUAUAUGCUUAUUAAUGUACGGUGUUUUUCCAUUAGGUUACUAAAUUAAGUAGGAUUAGAGCAUUUAAGUGACGGGUCAUGUGAGGAAGCUCGCCUCCUACCGAAGUAGACAGAAGGAAAGCUCCCAUCUCACCUCUCCAUUUUCCCUUCCUUCAUAUCUUUGAGUUGUAUAUAAAAUUAAAUGGGUUUUUUAUGUCUACUUUCAUAAUAUCUAUAUGCCUAUUGAUUGAUUUUUCUCUUAAGAGUUAUCUGAUAAAAAUGUGAAUUCAUAGGGAAGGUACUGGUAUGGAGGGUAUAACAGUAAAUAGGUGCCUCUGCCAUACUUUUAGGUUCUCUUGUUUGAAAUCUGUAAUGCCAAUUUUUACCCUGACUAUAUACAAGCUAUAUGGUUUCAGAACAAUUACCCCCCUCCCCCCACCAUAGGACAACUGCCCUCUGGACAAUUACUCCCCCCCCCUUCCUUGCCAGUGAAUAACUGACACAAUCAUGGAACACUAAGAUAUAGUGCUAUAUUUUCAUACUUUUUUUUGUAAUAAUUAUAUACACAAAAUGACGACUCAUAAUUUAUGGUCAAGUGAAAAAAAAUUGUAGAUCGGUCAUAUUUAAUAUUUUGUCAGGUAAGGCUAGGCUAGGCUAUUUCAAGUUAGUUAGGUUAUUUCCAUGUUUUGUGCCAGUUACUCACUGGCAAUGGGGGGAGGGGCCAAUUGUCCUAGACCCAAGCUAUGCAGCAUAUAACUCUAUAUAGCAACAUUUUACGACCACGACGUGCACCAAGAAAAAUGUGCAAGUCUGGGGCUGGUUCCCCCACACACCUGGCAAGACAAGUUUCAAACAGGUCUGUUCAAUUUUUGAAGGGUCACCUCAAAAGACUUGUCAGAAGCAUACAAAUCCUCAUAUCUAUAUAUAUUAUCAUAUAAUAAUUUUUUUGCAGAUAUGACUGUAGCCUACAGUAUUUAAGGCCUACUUCAAAAAAUGUUUUGUUUGUUUGUUUUCGAUCUACUGAUAACUAUAAAAACAGAUAUAGAAGACCGAAAGCUUAAAAAGACAGGUGGUGGUCCACGAGAAAAAAAUAUUAAAAGCUUCAGAAGAAACUGCCUUAACAGCAUCACUGAUGAGGGCCGAGUUAGCAGUGGCUGGUGAUUUUUACGAGACCUUCCGCAGUCACCCAGUAGAUGAAGAAAUAAUUCCUUAUAGAAUGUGCAGAUAGGUGAGAAUAUUUAUUGAUUUAUACAGUUGUAUGCAUUCUCAUUGAUACCAUUGCUCAAUCGCCUUUGGCUGUGUAAAAAUCAAACGGCAGCAGUGACCUACCUUAUACUGACUUUUUGCAGUUUUGCCUGUUCCAACCCCAGGGCCAUCAACUGUGCUCACCAGUCAUUGUUCCUGCCUCGACAGUGAAUGCUCCUACCUCACCAGUGAAUGCUCCUGCCUCGCCAGUCAUUGUUGCUUCACCAGUCAUUGUUCCUGCCUCACCAGUCCUUGCUCCUGCCUCACCAACACUGGAGCAGGUUCAG